RNAcentral lists this ribosomal RNA (254 nucleotides) under uncultured Pseudomonas sp. RNAcentral describes it as "partial 16S ribosomal RNA". It matches the Rfam family "Bacterial small subunit ribosomal RNA", at positions 99 to 354 of the family's 1533-position model. Lineage: Bacteria; Pseudomonadati; Pseudomonadota; Gammaproteobacteria; Pseudomonadales; Pseudomonadaceae. The record is from RNAcentral.
CGGACGGGUGAGUAAUGCCUGGGAAUCUGCCUGGUAGUGGGGGACAACGUUUCGAAAGGAACGCUAAUACCGCAUACGUCCUACGGGAGAAAGCAGGGGACCUUCGGGCCUUGCGCUAUCAGAUGAGCCUAGGUCGGAUUAGCUAGUUGGUGAGGUAAUGGCUCACCAAGGCGACGAUCCGUAACUGGUCUGAGAGGAUGAUCAGUCACACUGGAACUGAGACACGGUCCAGACUCCUACGGGAGGCAGCAGGC